Molecule: ribosomal RNA, 501 nt
Filed under: uncultured bacterium
Lineage: Bacteria
Description: partial 16S ribosomal RNA
Rfam family: Bacterial small subunit ribosomal RNA
Source: RNAcentral
AUUGAACGCUGGCGGCAGGCUUAACACAUGCAAGUCGAGCGGGGGAAGGUAGCUUGCUACCGGACCUAGCGGCGGACGGGUGAGUAAUGCUUAGGAAUCUGCCUAUUAGUGGGGGACAACAUCUCGAAAGGGAUGCUAAUACCGCAUACGUCCUACGGGAGAAAGCAGGGGAUCUUCGGACCUUGCGCUAAUAGAUGAGCCUAAGUCGGAUUAGCUAGUUGGUGGGGUAAAGGCCUACCAAGGCGACGAUCUGUAGCGGGUCUGAGAGGAUGAUCCGCCACACUGGGACUGAGACACGGCCCAGACUCCUACGGGAGGCAGCAGUGGGGAAUAUUGGACAAUGGGGGGAACCCUGAUCCGGCCAUGCCGCGUGUGUGAAGAAGGCCUUAUGGUUGUAAAGCACUUUAAGCGAGGAGGAGGCUACUUUAGUUAAUACCUAGAGAUAGUGGACGUUACUCGCAGAAUAAGCACCGGCUAACUCUGUACCAGCAGCCGCAGUAA